RNAcentral lists this ribosomal RNA (230 nucleotides) under uncultured bacterium. RNAcentral describes it as "partial 16S ribosomal RNA". It matches the Rfam family "Bacterial small subunit ribosomal RNA", at positions 109 to 339 of the family's 1533-position model. The record is from RNAcentral.
CGUAACACGUAUGCAAUCUACCUUUAACUGGGGCAUAGCCCGAAGAAAUUCGGAUUAAUACCGCAUAAUACUUUGAGGAGGAAUCUCCUUAAUUUUAAAACUUCGGUGGUUAAAGAUGAGCAUGCGUCCCAUUAGCUAGUUGGUAAGGUAACGGCUUACCAAGGCUACGAUGGGUAGGGGGUCUGAGAGGAUUAUCCCCCACACUGGUACUGAGACACGGACCAGACUCC